Molecule: ribosomal RNA, 483 nt
Filed under: uncultured bacterium
Lineage: Bacteria
Description: partial 16S ribosomal RNA
Rfam family: Bacterial small subunit ribosomal RNA
Source: RNAcentral
GACGAACGCUGGCGGCGCGCUUAACACAUGCAAGUCGAACGGUGAACCGGGCUUCGGCCCGGGGAUCAGUGGCGAACGGGUGCGUAACACGUGGGCAACCUGCCCCUCACUCUGGGAUAACCCCGGGAAACCGGAGCUAAUACCGGAUACUCCGACCGGUCCGCAUGGUCCGACCGGGAAAGGUCCGCCGGUGAGGGAUGGGCCCGCGGCCUAUCAGCUUGUUGGUGAGGUAACGGCUCACCAAGGCGACGACGGGUAGCUGGUCUGAGAGGCCGACCAGCCACACUGGGACUGAGAUACGGCCCAGACUCCUACGGGAGGCAGCAGUGGGGAAUCUUGCGCAAUGGGCGAAAGCCUGACGCAGCGACGCCGCGUGGGGGACGAAGGCCCUCGGGUUGUAAACCCCUUUCGGCAGGGACGAAGCGAUCGUGACGGUACCUGCAGAAGAAGCCUCGGCUAACUACGUGCCAACCGCCGCAGUAA